GCAUAUCAAUAAGCGGAGGAAAAGAAACCAACAGGGAUUGCCUCAGUAACGGCGAGUGAAGCGGCAACAGCUCAAAUUUGAAAUCUGGCCUCACGGUCCGAGUUGUAAUUUGUAGAGGAUGCUUCGAGCAUGGUCUGGCCUAAGUUCCUUGGAACAGGACGUCAUAGAGGGUGAGAAUCCCGUAUGCGGUCAGGUGCCUACGCUCAUGUGAAGCUCCUUCGACGAGUCGAGUUGUUUGGGAAUGCAGCUCAAAAUGGGUGGUAAAUUUCAUCUAAAGCUAAAUAUUGGCCAGAGACCGAUAGCGCACAAGUAGAGUGAUCGAAAGAUGAAAAGCACUUUGGAAAGAGAGUUAAACAGUACGUGAAAUUGUUGAAAGGGAAGCGCUUGCAACCAGACUUGCACGCGGCUGAUCAUCCGGUGUUCUCACCGGUGCACUCGGUCGCGUUCAGGCCAGCAUCGGUUUUGGUGGUUGGAUAAAGGCCCUAGGAAUGUAGCUUCUCUCGGGGAGUGUUAUAGCCUAGGGUGCAAUGCAGCCUACCGGGACCGAGGACCGCGCUUCGGCUAGGAUGCUGGCGUAAUGGUUGUAAGCGACCCGUCUUGAAACACGGACCAAGGAGUCUAACAUCUAUGCGAGUGUUUGGGUGUCAAACCCAUACGCGUAAUGAAAGUGAACGGAGGUGAGAACCCUUAAGGGUGCAUCAUCGACCGAUCCUGAUGUCUUCGGAUGGAUUUGAGUAAGAGCAUAGCUGUUGGGACCCGAAAGAUGGUGAACUAUGCCUGAAUAGGGUGAAGCCAGAGGAAACUCUGGUGGAGGCUCGCAGCGGUUCUGACGUGCAAAUCGAUCGUCAAAUUUGGGCAUAGGGGCGAAAGACUAAUCGAACCAUCUAGUAGCUGGUUCCUGCCGA
RNAcentral lists this ribosomal RNA (905 nucleotides) under Pseudeurotium desertorum. RNAcentral's name for it is "LSU rRNA". It matches the Rfam family "Eukaryotic large subunit ribosomal RNA", at positions 38 to 964 of the family's 3401-position model. Lineage: Eukaryota; Fungi; Ascomycota; Leotiomycetes; Thelebolales; Pseudeurotiaceae. The record is from RNAcentral.